This is a long non-coding RNA of Felis catus (domestic cat), 695 nucleotides long. RefSeq lists it as uncharacterized. The transcript is spliced from 2 exons. Lineage: Eukaryota; Metazoa; Chordata; Mammalia; Carnivora; Felidae. The record is from RefSeq and is a predicted model, not a curated record.
CAGAGAUAAAUCUCAGAAAAGGUUUUUCUCCAGGUUUCUCCUAUUCUUGUGUCCUCAGUAAAUUCCCACAUCCCUCCUGAUCAUGGGAGUGGUGUCUCAAGAAAGAGAUCUCAUAGGACCUUAGAGCUGCUUAACCAAAAUUCUACUUCUAUAGAGGAGCUUAAUUGGCAAUCCAGGAUUUUUAGGAUGAGAGAAAAAAAUAUUCAACUUCUGUAUAGUCUUGGGAAGACUGAAAAAAAGCAAGCCACUUUCUAAAAAGACAGGACUUGUAAUUGAAAGGGACAUAUAAAAAAUAAUGGAGGGACUAGCACUACCAUGGAGCAAACAGCAAACGGAUAACAGAGUGAGCUGAUAAUAGAGGCAGAGGUGGACACAGAUCUAUAAGAAGACAGAACAGCACUAAAUCUGGAGGAAUUUUUAUAGAGAGGCUGGAUCUAGGAGACUAGAAACAACAAUUAAUGAAUAUAUGGUGGUGAGUGAGAACCCAGAGAUAUUCAAGAUGCUUUACGAGAAGCGUCCUGAAGGUACUGAUGAUGGAGUGUAUGACACAGAAGAAAAUAACUACAAUUAUCCUGGGCUAGUUCUUCAAAUUCCGUAAAUGUAAAAUAUUUGAACUUGGAAAGGAAGAGCUGUCUAGACAUUGAUGAAAUAAUGAUCACAUUACUUAAUUAAAAUAAUGAUACUUGUGUCUAGGA